This is a long non-coding RNA of Mus musculus (house mouse), 1951 nucleotides long. RefSeq annotates it as predicted gene, 30122. NCBI's taxonomy places the organism in Eukaryota, Metazoa, Chordata, Mammalia, Rodentia, Muridae. The record is from RefSeq and is a predicted model, not a curated record. The transcript is spliced from 3 exons.
AAAUGUAACAAAAACAUCUCUUCUUUUUUUAUGAUUGUUUUAGUUGGGAGACUUUUUUUUUCCUUUUCCAUUUUUUAUUAGGUAUUUAGCUCAUUUACAUUUCCAAUGCUAUACCAAAAGUCCCCCAUACCCACCCACCCCCACUCCCCUACCCACCCACUCCCCCUUUUUGGCCCUGGCGUUCCCCUGUACUGGGGCAUAUAAAGUUUGCGUGUCCAAUGGGCCUCUCUUUCCAGUGAUGGCCGACUAGGCCAUCUUUUGAUACAUAUGCAGCUAGAGUCAAGAGCUCCGGGGUACUGGUUAGUUCAUAAUGUUGUUCCACCUAUAGGGUUGCAGAUCCCUUUAGCUCCUUGGGUACUUUCUCUAGCUCCUCCAUUGGGAGCCCUGUGAUCCAUCCAUUAGCUGACUGUGAGCAUCCACUUCUGUGUUUGCCAGGCCCCGACAUAGUCUCACAAGAGACAGCUACAUCUGGGUCCUUUCGAUAAAAUCUUGCUAGUGUAUGCAAUGGUGUUAUAAGUACCGCGCGCUAACCGAUUGCGCCACUGGAGCUCCCAAAAACAUCUCUUAAUGUUGAUGCUGCCAGGGGCUACUUGAAUAAGUAAAUCAGGCUUGGGGCUGGAGUCUAUGUCCACUCUGGUAUCAGGAGUCACUGCUGUGCCUUCAUGGGGUUUCAUAAGACCAGUAUGCCUACUAAUGGAAGACUGAGGUUCCUGAAGAGAAGCCCCUGUCCACUGGGAAUCAGCACUUGUUGUCUUUUUAGGGGCGCUUAGCAUAACCUAGGUUCACUUGGGAAGAGGGACCCUCAAUUGAAGAGCUGCUUUGAUCAGGAUGCUAUGGCCAUGUCUGGGAGAGAUUGUUCAGACUGAUGAAUGACAUGAGCGGGGCCAACUCUAGGCAGGUGGACCUGGCCUUUAUAAGAAAGCUAUGAGCCACUUAGGGAUCUGGUAAGUACUGUCUCCUUAGUUUCUGCUUCAGUCCCCGCCCUGAAUUCCUUCAGUCAUGGACCGUAACCUGGAAGCAUAAGCCAAGUAGAUCUCUUCUUCCUGCAUCCAGUCAGAGUAGAAGAGCAAAAUACAGCGCUCAUCUUCUACGGGUAGACAGCAAGCAGGAUGCUCACUCCAUGGCAGCCCUGGAACAAGGCCACACUGUUGGGUCCUUGCUCACUUCCUCCCAACCACCAUGCCAGGGGAGUCCCCUACAUGCUGGUGGUCCCCUGCAGUAGUUCAUGUCCCCAGCAGACACAGAGGGAACACUAAGCUUUUCUUGGAUAGCUCCGCUGCCCACAGAGCUCUCUUUUCUCAUCUUCCUUCCUACCUCUCUGCUUUCUAGCCUCUGACCAGCAACCUGAGCAAGGAUCAUACUGCCUAAGCCUUUCCCAUGUGAAUGUUGGUGCUCCUUCCAGAGAGGAUUUCCAGUGAUACUGAACCCCCUCCCAGGGUCACCCCUUAACUGGAAUAUGGAGUGGCCGGCUGACUUUUGGGUUGAUAUUUACAUAUGCAGAGAUGCUGCCCUGUUAAGAACCUGUGUAAAUGCUUUCACUGGAGAAAGACAGUCACCUUGCGACAGAGUUCCACAAGCACUCAGAAUUUCCUGCUUCAGAACCUCGUAAGCUGACAAGUUCGAGAGACGGUCUCUAUGCGUUGGUAGUGAGAGAUGAAAGAGAUGCUUCAUCUCUACGUUCACACUGAAACCACCUCACAGGUUUGCCUGUCUGGAAAAGCCUCUGAAAGAAGUGAGGAGGGGCUAGCCUGGUUUUGCACAUUUACCAUUUGGUUAUUUUUGUUUGUUUGUUUGGUUGGUUUGGUUUUUGCUUUUGUUUAUUCAAGACAAGGUCUCUCUGUGUAGCCCUGGCUGUCCUGGAACUCACUCUGUAGACCAAGCUGGCCUUGAAUUCACAGAAUUCUGCCUGCCUCUGCCUCCCAAGUGCUGGGAUUAAAAGUGUACACCCCCA